UACGGAGGGUGCUAGCGUUGUUCGGAAUUACUGGGCGUAAAGGGCGCGUAGGCGGCCGUUUGCGUCGGAUGUGAAAGCCCGGGGCUCAACCUCGGAACGGCAUUCGAUACGGGACGGCUGGAGACCGGGAGAGGAGAGUGGAAUAGCCAGUGUAGAGGUGAAAUUCGUAGGUAUUGGCUGGAACACCGGUGGCGAAAGCGGCUCUCUGGCCCGGUUCUGACGCUGAGGCGCGAAAGCUAGGGGAGCAAACGGG
Molecule: ribosomal RNA, 253 nt
Filed under: uncultured bacterium
Lineage: Bacteria
Description: partial 16S ribosomal RNA
Rfam family: Bacterial small subunit ribosomal RNA
Source: RNAcentral